This 253-nucleotide ribosomal RNA is filed under the name uncultured bacterium. RNAcentral's name for it is "partial 16S ribosomal RNA". It matches the Rfam family "Bacterial small subunit ribosomal RNA", at positions 524 to 776 of the family's 1533-position model. The record is from RNAcentral.
UACGGGGGGGGCAAGCGUUGUUCGGAAUUACUGGGCGUAAAGGGCUUGUAGGUGGCCAACUAAGUCAGACGUGAAAUCCCUCGGCUUAACCGGGGAACUGCGUCUGAUACUGGAUGGCUUGAGUGUGGGAGAGGGAUGCGGAAUUCCAGGUGUAGCGGUGAAAUGCGUAGAUAUCUGGAGGAAUACCGGUGGCGAAGGCGGCAUCCUGGACCGACAUUGACGCUGAGGAGCGAAAGCUAGGGGAGCAAACGGG